RNA transcript from Myotis lucifugus (little brown bat), 2242 nucleotides. It is a transcript of the gene named zinc finger protein 883-like, with no coding region annotated. The transcript has 4 exons. Lineage: Eukaryota; Metazoa; Chordata; Mammalia; Chiroptera; Vespertilionidae. The record is from RefSeq and is a predicted model, not a curated record.
UCAGGGAUGUGGCCAUAGAUUUCUCUCCGGAGGAGUGGGAAUGCCUGGACCCAGCUCAGCGGAAGUUGUACAUGGAUGUGAUGUUGGAGAACUACAGCAACCUGGCUUCCCUAGUGUGUCCUGAGCACAGGUCAAAGGUGCAAUGUUUUGGUAUGAGGAUCACAUUCUAAACAACUGAGCUCUUGGGCAAGCUAUGUCACCUAACGAUAACCAGGCCUUUAUGCCAAAGCCCGGAAUACAAGAUUUAUUCUGUGAAAUAAUACUGGGGAAGAGGCGGUGUCUUGGAGGAAACCGGAGCCCAUGGUGACCCCUUGUGACCAGGUUUCGAACGUUGGGGAUCCAAAGGCAGCCUGACUGGGGCUGGCAUGGAUAUGCUGGUAGAAGAUGGUGUCUGCAUUCCCGCAGUAAGUGGAAGUGCAUGGCCUUGAGGUAGCACUGUCCAAGUUUUCUCUUGGAGUAGUAUUUCUCUUGCUGAGCAAUAGUCUAUUCAUCUGUUUCUCCAGAAGUUCAGUGAUAAGCUCUGCUAGCCUCUCCUUCAUCCUGUGAAAAUCAGUUAGUUUAUUUUCCAAUAACUUUUUGCGUUCCAUUUCUUCUUGGCAGAGUCGCACAUAUUUUUCCAAUUCUCUUUUGAUACCAUCUUGAGAAGUUUGCACUUUGGAGAUUUCUGAUUCCAGCUCUUUAUUUCUGGCUUCCAAAGGACUUCUUAUUGAAGCCUGAUGAUUUAUCAUCUGCGCUGACAUUUCUUGAGAUGCUCUUUGUAUCUGUAAAAAUGAAUUGAUUUGUUCUCCAGUGUCUGCUACAUCCCGUCUUGCUUUUUCAUCAGUCUUCUUUUUCUACUUGUCUGCUUCACAGAUUUCUAUCCUAUUCGUUUCCAUAUAUGUUCUGAGAUUUACUGGUUCUUGUUCCCACUUCUGUGCUGUAUUCUUUAGUUCUUCACAUUCCUUUAGAAAUGCUUCCACUGCUAAAUGCUGAUGAGGUGUCUUUUCUUUAAGCAGAUGUAUAGAUUUUGAAGAUGAAGGUUGUACUUUUGCUAUAAGAACAUCAUUAACCAUGGGUUCACCUGGCUGGGGAGACUCUUCAUCUUCUCCUAGGAUUCUUUUCCAGAAGGAUGUUGCUCUUAAACGCCAAAUCAUAUUUACCACAGUUCAGUCACAAUGGGAUAACCGUUGUGAUGGAGUAAAACGGCCGCCUCUCCUCCCUUCUCCCUGCAGAACGCUGGCAGCAGGGCACAUGCACUGCAACGGACUGGGCUGAAGUGUGCAUGCCCGGUAAUGGACUUAGUCCCCAUUGGGCUUGCACAGUCACUUGGGCCAUGCAGUGAGGCUUGUCAUUUUCUUUUCUUUUUUAUUUCUUAACUCUUUCUUGACUUUGGCAAAUUAAAAUAGAAUAAGUUAACAAGUAUUUUUUUCAAAAAAAUGUUUUGUUCAAAAAUACUGUCAAAAAUUCCUAAAAAGCUUUCAGUACUGAAUAUAACUAUUAGCACAGUGUCAAAAAUGUUGAAUAGGGAAACAAAAUGAAAAUGUGUGGUCCUGCAACCUGGCCUUCCUGUGCCAUCACCAGGGACAUCUGGGAGACAAAGAGGAGGAGGAGGCAAGGCUCCAGGGAGCUCCCCCCCCCCUUCUUUUUAUUAACACAAUUUGUCCUGAGAUGAGGCAGAGAUAUACACUUCAAAGGGUCAGGGUUUCCUACAGAGUCCGUUGUCAGAAUGGGGGAAUUACCCUACGGCUGUUCAGGUGUUUGGCCUGUACGAAGCAAUAACAUAAAGAUUAAGAUGCCCUGGGCUGUCUGGCAGCCACGAAUCAAUUUCAUAUAUCCUAUUCAGGUUUGGGGAAAUGCCCUCAGCUAUUCCCAGUUGCAGCCCUGCUGUCAUGCUGGAAUUGGUCUCCAGCAAUACUCCAAACUUUAAAUGUAGUUAGGUAAUAUUUGUAUACUUGAAUAUAUUAAAAGAAUUGAUGUUUCCAUAUGUACAAUUAUCUUAGACUAUUCUUUAUAUUGAAAUCACUUGAAGUCUUCUGAAAAGAAAAUAUUAAUGUGAUUUUUAUUUCCAUAUCACUUGAUGUUGCUAUGUUUUAUGCCUGGUGUGUAUGUGAGUGAAAUCAUCGGGUUGAUUGUUUCUGUCUUAAAGAUCUGUGACCUGUGGUAUAUUAUAUGGACUUCCCUUGUGUACACUUUUUCAUGGAAUAAUGUAUACAUUGUAAGAGGCAGUAUUUUCUUCUAUUAGAGAAUCAUGCUAUUGAAUAAA